Molecule: ribosomal RNA, 460 nt
Filed under: uncultured bacterium
Lineage: Bacteria
Description: partial 16S ribosomal RNA
Rfam family: Bacterial small subunit ribosomal RNA
Source: RNAcentral
CCUACGGGGGGCAGCAGUGAGGAAUAUUGGUCAAUGGGCGCGAGCCUGCACCAGCCAAGUCGCGUGAGGGAUGAAGGCCCUACGGGUUGUAAACCUCUUUUGCCGGGGAGCAACGGGCGCCACGUGUGGCGCCACUGAGAGUACCCGGCGAAAAAGCAUCGGCUAACUCCGGGCCAGCGGCCGCGGUAAUACGGAGGAUGCGAGCGUUAUCCGGAUUUAUUGGGUUUAAAGGGUGCGUAGGCGGUUCGUUAAGUCAGUGGGAAAAUUUCGGGGGUCAACCCCUGCCCGCCAUUGAAACUGGCGCUCUUGAGUGGAAGAGAGGGAUGCGGAAUGCGUGGUGUAGCGGUGAAAUGCAUAGAUAUCACACAGAACCCCGAUGGCGAAGGCAGCAUGCCGGCUUCCGACUGACGCUGAGGCACGAAAGCGUGGGGAUCGAACAGGAUUAGAUACCCGUGUAGUA